This 432-nucleotide ribosomal RNA is filed under the name uncultured bacterium. Its description in RNAcentral is "partial 16S ribosomal RNA". It matches the Rfam family "Bacterial small subunit ribosomal RNA", at positions 338 to 795 of the family's 1533-position model. The record is from RNAcentral.
CCUACGGGAGGCAGCAGUGGGGAAUAUUGCACAAUGGGGGGAACCCUGAUGCAGCGACGCCGCGUGCGGGAUGAAGGCCUUCGGGUUGUAAACCGCUUUCAGCAGGGGCGCGGUACCUGCAGAAGAAGCGCCGGCUAACUACGUGCCAGCAGCCGCGGUAAUACGUAGGGCGCGAGCGUUGUCCGGAAUUAUUGGGCGUAAAGAGCUCGUAGGCGGCCUGUUGCGUCCGCUGUGAAAUCCCGGGGCUUAACCCCGGGCGUGCAGUGGAUACGGGCGGGCUUGAGGCAGGCAGGGGAGAACGGAAUUCCCGGUGUAGCGGUGAAAUGCGCAGAUAUCGGGAGGAACACCGGUGGCGAAGGCGGUUCUCUGGGCCUGUCUGACGCUGAGGAGCGAAAGCGUGGGGAGCGAACAGGAUUAGAUACCCUUGUAGUC